UCGGGAAUUUUGGGCAAUGGGGGCAACCCUGACCCAGCAACGCCGCGUGAGGGAUGAAGGCCUUCGGGUCGUAAACCUCUGUCGGGAGGGAAGAACGUCAUCCGGGUGAACAAUCCGGGAGGCUGACGGUACCUCCAAAGGAAGCACCGGCUAACUCCGUGCCAGCAGCCGCGGUAAUACGGAGGGUGCGAGCGUUGUUCGGAAUCAUUGGGCGUAAAGCGCGUGUAGGCGGCCUGGUCAGUCGGGUGUGAAAGCCCGGGGCCCAACCCCGGAAAUGCAUUCGAAACUGCCUCGCUAGAGUCCCGGAGAGGAAGGCGGAAUUCCCGGUGUAGAGGUGAAAUUCGUAGAUAUCGGGAGGAACACCAGCGGCGAAGGCGGCCUUCUGGACGGUGACUGACGCUGAGACGCGAAAGCGUGGGGAGCAAACAGGAUUAGAUACCCCCGUAGUCC
This 450-nucleotide ribosomal RNA is filed under the name uncultured prokaryote. RNAcentral's name for it is "bacterial SSU rRNA". It matches the Rfam family "Bacterial small subunit ribosomal RNA", at positions 355 to 796 of the family's 1533-position model. The record is from RNAcentral.